AACAAACGCUGGCGGCGUGCCUAAUACAUGCAAGUCGAACGGGGAAAGCUUUCGGGUGAGUACUAGUGGCGCACGGGUGAGUAACACGUGGGUAAUCUGCCUUCAAAUGGGGAACAACCAGUCGAAAGAUUGGCUAAUACCGCAUAAGACCACAGGAUCUGCGGAUCUAGGGGUUAAAGAGUAAUUCGUUUGAAGAUGAGCCCGCGCGAGAUUAGCUAGUUGGUAGGGUAACGGCCUACCAAGGCUACGAUCUCUAGCUGGUCUGAGAGGAUGAUCAGCCACACUGGAACUGAGACACGGUCCAGACUCCUACGGGAGGCAG
RNAcentral lists this ribosomal RNA (322 nucleotides) under uncultured Pseudomonadota bacterium. Its description in RNAcentral is "bacterial SSU rRNA". It matches the Rfam family "Bacterial small subunit ribosomal RNA", at positions 29 to 351 of the family's 1533-position model. Lineage: Bacteria; Pseudomonadati; Pseudomonadota. The record is from RNAcentral.